RNAcentral lists this ribosomal RNA (621 nucleotides) under uncultured Thelephoraceae. RNAcentral describes it as "eukaryotic LSU rRNA". The stretch from base 207 to 361 matches the Rfam family "5.8S ribosomal RNA". Lineage: Eukaryota; Fungi; Basidiomycota; Agaricomycetes; Thelephorales; Thelephoraceae. The record is from RNAcentral.
CAUUACCGAAUCGUCAAACACGGGUUGUUGCUGGCCCCCAAAAGGGGCACGUGCACGCUCUGUUUACGCAUCCACUCACACCUGUGCACCCUCUGUAGUUCUGUGGUUCGGGAGACCCUGUCUGCCUUCCGUAGCUCUACGUCUUUACGCACACGCCUCAGUGAUGUCUUAUGGAAUGUUUUACUGCGUUUAACGCGAUACAAUACAACUUUCAGCAACGGAUCUCUUGGCUCUCGCAUCGAUGAAGAACGCAGCGAAAUGCGAUAAGUAAUGUGAAUUGCAGAAUUCAGUGAAUCAUCGAAUCUUUGAACGCACCUUGCGCCCCUUGGUUAUUCCUCGGGGCAUGCCUGUUUGAGUAUCAUGAGCACCUCAACUCUCGUGGUCUUCCACGAUGAGCUUGGACUCUGGAGGUUUGCUGGCCCUGUGGCCGGCUCCUCUCAAAUGAAUCAGCUUUCCGACGUUCGGUGGCAUCGCAAGCGUGAUAACUAUCUACGCUCGUGGUCGUCUGCCGGGUAACCCUCAGCAAUGGAGGUUCGUUGGGGCUUAUAAACGUCUCUCCUCGGCGAGGACAACUUUUGAAUGUUCGAUCUCAAAUCAGGUAGGACUACCCGCUGAACUUAA